GAAUUUAAGCAUAUCAAUAAGCGGAGGAAAAGAAACCAACAGGGAUUGCCCCAGUAACGGCGAGUGAAGCGGCAACAGCUCAAAUUUGAAAUCUGGCCCCAGGCCCGAGUUGUAAUUUGCAGAGGAUGCUUUUGGCGCGGUGCCUUCCGAGUUCCCUGGAACGGGACGCCAUAGAGGGUGAGAGCCCCGUACGGUUGGACACCAAGCCUUUGUAAAGCUCCUUCGACGAGUCGAGUAGUUUGGGAAUGCUGCUCUAAAUGGGAGGUACAUUUCUUCUAAAGCUAAAUAUUGGCCAGAGACCGAUAGCGCACAAGUAGAGUGAUCGAAAGAUGAAAAGCACUUUGAAAAGAGGGUUAAACAGCACGUGAAAUUGUUAAAAGGGAAGCGCUUGUGACCAGACUUGCGUCCGGUGAAUCACCCAGCUCUCGCGGCUGGGGCACUUCGCCGGCACAGGCCAGCAUCAGCUUGCCGUCGGGGACAAAAGCUUCAGGAACGUGGCUCCUCUCGGGGAGUGUUAUAGCCUGUUGCAUAAUACCCUUCGGCGGGCUGAGGUACGCGCUCCGCAAGGAUGCUGGCGUAAUGGUCAUCAGCGACCCGUCUUGAAAACACGGAA
Molecule: ribosomal RNA, 613 nt
Filed under: Colletotrichum nymphaeae
Lineage: Eukaryota; Fungi; Ascomycota; Sordariomycetes; Glomerellales; Glomerellaceae
Description: partial large subunit ribosomal RNA
Rfam family: Eukaryotic large subunit ribosomal RNA
Source: RNAcentral